Ovis aries (sheep) is the source of this 72-nucleotide transfer RNA. It matches the Rfam family "tRNA". From Rfam's summary of the family: Transfer RNA (tRNA) molecules are approximately 80 nucleotides in length. Their secondary structure includes four short double-helical elements and three loops (D, anti-codon, and T loops). The record is from Rfam. Lineage: Eukaryota; Metazoa; Chordata; Mammalia; Artiodactyla; Bovidae.
UCCCUAGUGGCUCAGACAGUGAAGUGUCUGUCUACAAUGCAGGCGACCCAGGUUCGAACCCUGGGUAGGGAA